Molecule: ribosomal RNA, 1431 nt
Filed under: uncultured organism
Description: 16S ribosomal RNA
Rfam family: Bacterial small subunit ribosomal RNA
Source: RNAcentral
CAGGCUUAACACAUGCAAGUCGAGGGGCAUCAGGAAGAAAGCUUGCUUUCUUUGCUGGCGACCGGCGCACGGGUGAGUAACACGUAUCCAACCUGCCCUUUACUCGGGGAUAGCCUUUCGAAAGAAAGAUUAAUACCCGAUGGCAUAAUGAUUCCGCAUGGUUUCAUUAUUAAAGGAUUCCGGUAAAGGAUGGGGAUGCGUUCCAUUAGGUUGUUGGUGAGGUAACGGCUCACCAAGCCUUCGAUGGAUAGGGGUUCUGAGAGGAAGGUCCCCCACAUUGGAACUGAGACACGGUCCAAACUCCUACGGGAGGCAGCAGUGAGGAAUAUUGGUCAAUGGGCGCUAGCCUGAACCAGCCAAGUAGCGUGAAGGAUGAAGGCUCUAUGGGUCGUAAACUUCUUUUAUAUAAGAAUAAAGUGCAGUAUGUAUACUGUUUUGUAUGUAUUAUAUGAAUAAGGAUCGGCUAACUCCGUGCCAGCAGCCGCGGUAAUACGGGGGAUCCGAGCGUUAUCCGGAUUUAUUGGGUUUAAAGGGAGCGUAGGUGGACUGGUAAGUCAGUUGUGAAAGUUUGCGGCUCAACCGUAAAAUUGCAGUUGAUACUGUCAGUCUUGAGUACAGUAGAGGUGGGCGGAAUUCGUGGUGUAGCGGUGAAAUGCUUAGAUAUCACGAAGAACUCCGAUUGCGAAGGCAGCUCACUGGACUGCAACUGACACUGAUGCUCGAAAGUGUGGGUAUCAAACAGGAUUAGAUACCCUGGUAGUCCACACAGUAAACGAUGAAUACUCGCUGUUUGCGAUAUACAGUAAGCGGCCAAGCGAAAGCAUUAAGUAUUCCACCUGGGGAGUACGCCGGCAACGGUGAAACUCAAAGGAAUUGACGGGGGCCCGCACAAGCGGAGGAACAUGUGGUUUAAUUCGAUGAUACGCGAGGAACCUUACCCGGGCUUAAAUUGCAGUGGAAUGAUGUGGAAACAUGUCAGUGAGCAAUCACCGCUGUGAAGGUGCUGCAUGGUUGUCGUCAGCUCGUGCCGUGAGGUGUCGGCUUAAGUGCCAUAACGAGCGCAACCCUUAUCUUUAGUUACUAACAGGUUAUGCUGAGGACUCUAGAGAGACUGCCGUCGUAAGAUGUGAGGAAGGUGGGGAUGACGUCAAAUCAGCACGGCCCUUACGUCCGGGGCUACACACGUGUUACAAUGGGGGGUACAGAAGGCAGCUAGCGGGUGACCGUAUGCUAAUCCCAAAAGCCUCUCUCAGUUCGGAUCGAAGUCUGCAACCCGACUUCGUGAAGCUGGAUUCGCUAGUAAUCGCGCAUCAGCCACGGCGCGGUGAAUACGUUCCCGGGCCUUGUACACACCGCCCGUCAAGCCAUGGGAGCCGGGGGUACCUGAAGUACGUAACCGCAAGGAUCGUCCUAGGGUAAAACUGGUGACUG